GUAAUUAUCAAAAGAAAGGGAACAAAAAAGUCUGCCAAGCAGAUCUAAAUAAUCUUUCCCUCCUUCCUUCUCUCUCCCUCUCUUACACAGUUAUAAAGUUCUAUUUAUUCUUAUAUAUAUUAAAAAAUGAAUGGAUAUCCAAUUAUGUUUUCUAAAAGUAAUCAGAUUAUUUUCUUUCUUUUAAAUUGGUAGUUUUCUUUACCUUACCGCCUUCAGUCUUGUAUACCCUCAAAAGAAGCAUGUGUUGAAUCAUGGACUUAAAAACUAAAAGAAGUGCUGGGUCCGUGGCGCAGGCCUGUAAUCCCAGCGGCUCUGGAGGCUGAGGCAGGAGGAUCUUGUGUUCAAAGCCAGCCUCAGCAAAAGCAAGGCACUAAGCAACUCAGUGAGACCCUGUCUCUAAAUAAAAUACAAAAUAGGGAUGGGAAUGUGGCUCAGUGGUCAAAUGCCCCUGAGUUCUAUCCCUGGCACACCACCCCCCAUCAAAAAAAAAAAAAAAAACUACAAAAAAAAAAGGGGAAUUCAGAAUAUAUUUCUUAACUUUUCAUUUGAUUUUUGUUUCUUAAACAGCUAAUCUUUGUGUAUUGCUUGUGUGUUGUCCCCUCAGGAGAAAAUUUUAUCAUCUACAUCUCAUGCUGUGAUGAGGAAUCAAGAAACAGUAAAUAAUAAUAAUGUUCAAAAGAACAGGCUGGAUUGACACAGCAAGAAAGCAAACUAUGUAAAUGUUAAUGAGAAUUUAAAGGCCUAGUCAUUUGAGGUUUUGGCUGAGAAUUUAGGAUCAUAAUUAUCACUUUAAAAUUAUUAUUGCCCUUUAUUUCUUUGAUGCUGUCAUUGAAGACUGCCUUGACUUGUUAUUUUAAAUUCUAACUCUGCAAAUCUUUCUAAUAUAGUAAUUUUAGUUGUUUAUUGCUCAAAGUAUAAGAUUUCUAGGAGACUUUUCAUGUCAGUAUUAUUUUUGGCACACAUAGCAUUUACUUAUUUGGACCAGCAUUGGAAAGAUCUGAUGUUGUGAUUGAAACCAACUGUAAGCCUGUGUCAGCUACUUUACAAUAAAUGUUGAAAAGAAGU
This 1065-nucleotide long non-coding RNA is filed under the name Marmota monax (woodchuck). Lineage: Eukaryota; Metazoa; Chordata; Mammalia; Rodentia; Sciuridae. The record is from RNAcentral.